RNAcentral lists this transfer RNA (73 nucleotides) under Deltaproteobacteria bacterium. RNAcentral's name for it is "tRNA-Glu". It matches the Rfam family "tRNA". Rfam says of the family: Transfer RNA (tRNA) molecules are approximately 80 nucleotides in length. The record is from RNAcentral. Lineage: Bacteria; Pseudomonadati; Myxococcota; Myxococcia.
GGCUCCUUCGUCUAGCGGUCUAGGACAGCGGCCUCUCACGCCGUAAACACGGGUUCGAUUCCCGUAGGAGUCA